AUGGACGGAAUCCAGACAUUUGUCCGUUUGAGGCCGCGCGCUGGGCCGCGCUAUUCGUCCGUUUUACUUCAAACGGACGGGCCGGACAGGAUAGGGUCGCGAUGUGGAGUUGGCCUGAGUGCGGCGUCUCAAGGACGCAGAGGCCGGUGCCUGCCACUCCGGGACACAUGCCAUGUAGCAGGAAUAUUGAGCCCUGCUCCUCUGUUGAUCAUGCAGAUUACAGAGAUGUCAGGGCUUUCACAUGGUUUCUCAGCGAGGACUGAUGCUGCGCUGCGGUCCCCUUCCGGUUCGCCUCUUUAUCUUACCUCCAUCCAUUCACAAGACAACAAGCGGAGCAAUAGACGCCGCUCCCAAUUUUCAGACGUGCACAGGCAUAUCAUCACUGCACGUAUUUGGCCGUUUAUAGUAUUUUGGCAUAUGCUGGGUGACUGA
RNAcentral lists this ribosomal RNA (432 nucleotides) under Triticum aestivum (bread wheat). RNAcentral's name for it is "partial small subunit ribosomal RNA". The record is from RNAcentral. Lineage: Eukaryota; Viridiplantae; Streptophyta; Magnoliopsida; Poales; Poaceae.